Molecule: non-coding RNA, 540 nt
Organism: Leptonychotes weddellii (Weddell seal)
Lineage: Eukaryota; Metazoa; Chordata; Mammalia; Carnivora; Phocidae
Source: RefSeq, a predicted model, not a curated record
CCUGAGGAAUGCUAUUGAACCAAUAUUAUAACCAGUCUUACAACUACUACAGAGCUGCCUCAAGUCCCUGACUACAUUGAGACAGAUGCUAACAGCCCUGAUGUGUGUGUGUUUCACUGAAAGAAAGGAAUCUCUGGACCUGGUCCUGCCUGUGCUUCUAUUCAGUGGUGGGACAGAGUGAGAAAUAUAAGAAGACAAGUAAACAGCAGCUGAAUCAUAGUCUAGUGCUCUCCCGGAUGACAUUCAGCACUAUAGUGGUAGAGAGUGCACAGAAUCAGCUGGAGGAAAGGGGCCAUGAGGCAAGGAAUGCUUUUAGAAGCUGAGAAUGACCUUUGCUGACCUCCAAAAAGGACAUGGGACUUCAUUCCUACAGAUGCUUGGAAGUGAAUUUUUCUGAAAGCUUAAAUGAGCUUGAAAGUGAAUUCACCCUCAGAGCCUCCGGAAAAGAACACGUCACUGCCGAAAACUUGAUUUCAACCUUGUGAAACCUGGAGUAGAAAACCAGUAAGCCAUUUGGUACCUGGACCUAAGACCUACAAC